GGGUUUCAAUGAAAGAUAGGCCGAGUUUGAGUGGAGAGAAUUUGAUUUACGUGUCAACUCAUGAGGACCCAGGUGAACCCAGGACGAGUUGGGCUGCUGUGUACUCGACUCAUUUAGGAACCGGGUUGACUCGACGACUCACUCCUUCCGGAAUCGCCGACUUUAGCCCCGCCGUGUCUCCAUCUGGGGUUUGGACAGCUGUGGCUUCGUAUGGGAAAGAAGGGUGGGGUGGGGAAGUGGAAGAACUGAGUACUGAUAUUUAUGUUUUCUUGACUCGUGAUGGGACUCACCGAGUCAAGGUUGUUGAACACGGUGGGUGGCCGUGUUGGGUUGAUGACUCAACUCUGUACUUCCAUAGGAGAAGUGAAGACCAGUGGAUAAGCGUUUACAAAGCAACUUUCCCUAAAAACAAACCCGUUUCUACCGAGUCGGUGACGAUUCAGCGAGUCACACCACCGGGUCUCCACGCUUUCACCCCAGCUACAUCCCCAGGUAACCAUAAGUUCAUAGCAGUAGCUACAAGAAGACCCAAUUCAAGUUUUCGCCACAUAGAACUGUUUGACACUGUUAAAAACGAGUUUAUUGAGCUAACUCGGCAUGUUUCUCCUACAACCCAUCACUUAAACCCGUUCAUAUCACCCGACUCAGCCCGAGUUGGGUACCAUAAGUGUAGGGGAGAAAGUAAUGGAGCAAAAGCUACUCAAUUAUUGCUUGAAAAUGUUAAAAGCCCAGUGCGGAAUCUCUCUCUUUUCAGAAUGUACGGUUCAUUCCCUUCUUUCUCACCCGCGGGUGACCGAAUAGCCUACGUGGAUUUCCCCGGUGUUUAUGUAGUGAACCGGGACGGUUCGAACCUGCGCCAGGUUUUCCACUUGAAUGCUUUUGGAAGCGCUUGGGACCCGGUACGAAAGGGAAUUGUAUACACAAGUGCUGGACCGGAGUUUUCAAGUGUGAGUACUGAAGUUGAUAUUGUAUCCAUCAACGUUGAUGAUGUUGAGCAAUCAAAUUAUAAAAGGUUGACCAUAGAUGGGAAGAACAAUGCAUUUCCCUCGCCAUCACCCGACGGGAAACGGAUUGUAUUCAGGUCGGGACGGUCGGGUCACAAGAACUUAUAUAUAAUGGAUGCAAUCGAAGGGGAGACGAGUUGGAUUGAAAGACUAACAGAUGGUCCGUGGACGGAC
RNAcentral lists this long non-coding RNA (1178 nucleotides) under Gossypium barbadense (sea-island cotton). Its description in RNAcentral is "long non-coding RNA (GBAR_LNC001245)". Lineage: Eukaryota; Viridiplantae; Streptophyta; Magnoliopsida; Malvales; Malvaceae. The record is from RNAcentral.